Molecule: small RNA, 707 nt
Filed under: Pongo abelii (Sumatran orangutan)
Lineage: Eukaryota; Metazoa; Chordata; Mammalia; Primates; Hominidae
Description: retained intron
Source: RNAcentral
GAUGAGUUGAAAAUUCAGAGCCAGAAUGACCGAGAAAAACUUGCAGAAGCAAAGGAGAAGAUAUAUCUAAAAGGAUUUUAUGAGGGUAUCAUGUUGGUGGAUGGAUUUAAAGGACAGAAGGUUCAAGAUGUAAAGAAGACUAUUCAGAAAAAGAUGAUUGACGCUGGAGAUGCACUUAUUUACAUGGAACCGGAGAAACAAGUGAUGUCCAGGUCGUCAGAUGAAUGUGUCGUGGCUCUGUGUGACCAGUGGUACUUGGAUUAUGGAGAAGAGAAUUGGAAGAAACAGACAUCUCAGUGCUUGAAGAACCUGGAAACAUUCUGUGAGGAGACCAGGAGGAAUUUUGAAGCCACCUUAGGUUGGCUACAAGAACAUGCUUGCUCAAGAACUUAUGGUCUAGGCACUCACUUGCCUUGGGAUGAGCAGUGGCUGAUUGAAUCACUUUCUGACUCCACUAUUUACAUGGCAUUUUACACAGUUGCACACCUGUUGCAGGGGGGUAACUUGCAUGGACAGGCAGAGUCUCCGCUGGGCAUUAGGUUGGUAAACAGAUAAGGGAAAGGAGCAUAAUUUGUCAGUAAGAGUUGUGAUGUUUGAUUUACGUAUUGAAAUGUUUUAAUAAGAUUUAUUUCACAGAAUUUUGUCAUGAUGUUUUUGCUUUUUUACUAUUGAACUGGGAAAAAUUAAUAAAUAGCCCCUUACUAUCA